RNAcentral lists this ribosomal RNA (433 nucleotides) under uncultured bacterium. Its description in RNAcentral is "partial 16S ribosomal RNA". It matches the Rfam family "Bacterial small subunit ribosomal RNA", at positions 29 to 507 of the family's 1533-position model. The record is from RNAcentral.
AACGAACGCUGGCGGCAUGCCUAACACAUGCCAGUCGAACGACACCUUCGGGUCUAGUGGCGCACGGGUGCGUCACGCGUGGGAACCUGCCUUUAGGUUCCGAAUAACUCAGAGAAAUUUGAGCUAAUACCGGAUGAUUUCUUCGGACCCAAGAUUUAACCCCUUUAGAUGGGCCCGCGUUGGAUUAGCUAGUUGGUGGGGUAAAGGCCUACCAAGGCGACGAUCCAUAGCUGGUCUGAGAGGAUGAUCAGCCACACUGAGACUGGGACACGGCCCAGACUCCUACGGGAGGCAGGAGUGGGGAAUAUUGGAAAAUGGGGGAAAGCCUGAACCAGCAAGGCCGGGUGAGUGAUGAAGGCGGUAGGGUUGUAAAGCUCUUUUACCCGAGAUGAUAAUGACAGUAUCGGGAGAAUAAGCGCCGGCUAACUCCGUG